RNAcentral lists this ribosomal RNA (471 nucleotides) under uncultured bacterium. Its description in RNAcentral is "bacterial SSU rRNA". It matches the Rfam family "Bacterial small subunit ribosomal RNA", at positions 335 to 798 of the family's 1533-position model. The record is from RNAcentral.
ACUCCUACGGGAGGCAGCAGUGGGGAAUAUUGCACAAUGGGCGCAAGCCUGAUGCAGCCAUGCCGCGUGUGUGAAGAAGGCCUUCGGGUUGUAAAGCACUUUCAGUCGUGAGGAAGGUAGUGUAGUUAAUAGCUGCAUUAUUUGACGUUAGCGACAGAAGAAGCACCGGCUAACUCCGUGCCAGCAGCCGCGGUAAUACGGAGGGUGCGAGCGUUAUCCGGAUUUAUUGGGUUUAAAGGGUCCGUAGGCGGAUUAAUAAGUCAGUGGUGAAAUCCCAUCGCUUAACGAUGGAACUGCCAUUGAUACUGUUAGUCUUGAAUGAGGGUGCAGUGGUUGGAAUGUGUAGUGUAGCGGUGAAAUGCAUAGAUAUUACACAGAACACCGAUUGCGAAGGCAGAUCACUAACCCUAAAUUGACGCUGAGGGACGAAAGCGUGGGGAGCGAACAGGAUUAGAUACCCUGUAGGCUCUG